CAGUGCGACAGCCUCAGAGCCCGUGGAGAGGCAGAGCGCAGGCAGCUGGGUUUCUGAUGGCGCCAGUGUCAAGGUCUUCCAGUGACUCCAGGUCUUCCAGCAAUUCCAAGUCUUCCAACAACAUCAAGGUCUUCCAGCUAACCCAGUCUUCCAGAAAUCUAUGUCUUCCGGACAAUCCAUGUCUUCCAGGAAAUCCAGUCUUCCAGCAAUUAUAUGUCUUCCACAAAAUCCAUAGCUUCCAGGAAAAUCCACGUCUUCCAGAAAAUCCAUGUCUUCCAACAAUUUCAAGGUCUUCCAGCCAAUCCACGUCUUCCAGAAAAAUCUAUGUCUUCCGCCAAAUCUAAGUCUUCCAGCUAAUUUACGUCUUCCAGAAAAAUCCAAGUCUUCCAGCCAAUCUCUGUCUUCCAGAAAGAAAUCCAGGUCUUCCACUCAGUCCAUGUCUUCCGGAGAAAUCUGUGUCUUCCAGAAAAAUCCAGGUCUUCCAACCAACCCACGUCUUCCAUCAAAUCCAGUCUUCCAGUGCAUUUAUGUCUUCCAGACAAAAAUCUAUGUCUUCCACUGAAUCCAGGUCUUCCGGUAAAUCUACGUCUUCCAGAAAAUUCAUGUCUUCCACUAAAUUCAGGUCUUCCAGCAAAUUUAUGUCUUCCUAGAGAUUGUCUUCCAGAAAAAUUCAUGUCUUCCAGCAAAUCUGUGUCUUCCAAAUAAUCCAGGUCUUCCGGACAAUUCGGGUCUUCCUGAAAAUCCAUGUCUUCCAGAAAAGCCAUGUCUUCCAGGAAAUCCAUGUCUUCCAAUGACCUCCAAGUCUUCCAGAAAAUCCAUGUCUUCCAUCAAAUUCACGUCUUCCAUCAAACCCACGUCUUCCAGAAAAUCCACGUCUUCCAUCAAAUCCAUGUCUUCCAGAAAAUCCACGUCUUCCAAGAAAUACGUCUUCCAUCAAAUUCAUGUCUUCCAGCCUACCCAUGUCUUCCAGAAGAUCCAAGUCUUCCAACAAAGUCACGUCUUCCAAAAAAUCCAUGUCUUCCAACAAAGGUGCAUCUUCCAGAAAAUCCAUGUCUUCCAACAAACCUGUGUCUUCCAGAAAAUCCAUGUCUUCCCACAAAACCAUGUCUUCCAGAAAAUCCACGUCUUCCAAGAAGGGUGCGUCUUCCGGAAAAUCCACGUCUUCCAACAAAGGGUGCGUCUUCCGGAAAAUCCACGUCUUCCAACAAGGUGCGUCUUCCAACAAAGGGUGCGUCUUCCAGAAAAUCCAUGUCUUCCAACAGUGCCAUGUCUUCCAGAAAAUCCAUGUCUUCCUACACCUCCAGGUCUUCCAGCAUCUCCAGGGCUUCCAGCAUCUGCUCGUCUUCCAGCAUCUCCUCGUCUUCCAGCAUCUCCUCGUCUUCCAGCAUCUCCACGUCUUCCAGCAUCUUCAUGUCUUCCAACAACAACUCAGUCUUCCAAAAGUAGGCUCAAUAUCCACGUCUUCCAAUGUCUCCAGUGUACUGGUCUUCUAACAUUCAGGUCUUCUGGUGUCUACGAUAUCCAGGUAUUUUAAAAUGUUCCGUAAUCCAGGUCUUCUGACCUUUCCCCAGGUCCAGACUUUUCCAAAUUAGUCUUCCCAAGGCUGAGCCUUUCCAUGUUCAGAUUAUUCCAUAGACAAGUCUUCCAGUUCAAAUAUUCCUGCUUCUAGUAGAAUUAGCUUCAAAAAUUUUUGAAUAGGGCAUCCCUUCUUUAUAGACUAGAUCUUAUGGAUCAACUGUACUGAAGCUUAAUAGUGUUUUUUGCUACUAGGAAAUGUAUAUUCACUCUUUACAACUUUAAAAAAUAGUGUUCAUAAUACAGCUUCUGUGGAAUAAAUGCACAGAUGGUAUUACUGUGAUGAAUUUUGCUAAUUUACUAAUGCUCAUAUUUUUAUACAGUCAACUCUGUUUAGGUACAAGUGAAAUUUUUAUUUUAAUGAUAAAAACUCCUAUUUAGAGACUAUUAUUUUAGACAAAGCUAACAUAGAGUGUAUUUGUCCAGUGUUUAUAACAUCAUUUUUUGUUGUUUGGUCUUAUGAGACAAUAAUAAUAACAACAACAACGAUAACAUUAACAUAGCAUUUGCUACGUCCAGGCACUGCUCUAAGGUCCUUACAUGCGUCAACUUAUCCUUACAUGCAUCAGCUUAUUUAAUCUUCACAAGAACCCAUUGAGGUAGGUACUAUCAUCCCUGUUUUACAGAUGAGGAAACUGGCACACACAGAGGUGAAAUAACUUGUCCAAAGUACACAACCAAUAAAAUUCAGCACUAGGAUAUGAACCCAACUAGCUUGUUUCCAGAGUCCAUGACCCAGCCAUAAUAUCUGCUGUUGAAAAUCAAGAUGAGAAUUACAGGAUCUGAAGUUUGAUUGCUCCUGUUUUAUGUAUAAACUAUUAUAAUAUCUUAUAUAUAAAUCAUAUAUAUAUAUAUAUCCUGUGACUUAUCAGAACCUAUUUGUGCUCGCAGAUCUCAUUCCUCAUCUAUCUACUAUCAUUUCCUUGCUUGUGUAUAUGAAACUAGGCACAAACACUUCCUGAUAUAAUUCUCAGUUUAGGCAGAAAUAAUAUAAGGGAGCACUGAAUGCAAGUACCCUUUGCUUUAGAAUCAUAUUCAUGGCUCCUUGCUUUGAGUACAGAUGCUUAGAAUUUAAAUCUCCCACCUACUUUAAUCCCUUAUCACUGACCAUUAUCCAGUUUGUACCUUAGUAUCUAGACUACCUGCAGUUAGUUUGUUUCUGACCUCAGGAUCCACCUGCUUCUUUAAAUAUCACUGGCCUGCUGGAUUCCUGACCACUGCCUUGUGUCUGCGUAACUCCCAGUAUCCUGACCUAGAGAACUACUUUGAUUCUCCAAGUCUCAGCUUCUACCAGGUGCUUCCGGAAACAUUGCUACCUGUGCCUCUGGCUGACAUGACAAGCAUAAAUGCUACAUAAUGAAAUUAUGCUUAGGCAAGGGAUCUCUAAAGAUCUAGAAUCAACUAUACUGUAAAACAAAUUUAACAAUAAUAAUAAUUGUAAUACCUUCCCAAUGUCUAAUGAUUUAGUUUCUGAAGUGCUAUCAUUCAUUCAUUCACUCAACAGAUAUUUAUUGAGCAUCAGCGGUGUGCCAGCCAUAUAUUAAUGGAGCUUAAAAUCACUUGGGAGGAAACAGACAAUGUACAGAUAACUGAACAGUUAUUUAUUAGUUGUUGUAAGGCCAUGAAGGAAAAGUAAGUUACGGAUGUUCUUGAGUCUGCAAAGUUAAGGAAAGCAUUCCUGAGUGAGUAACACUGAUAGUGACUGAAGGAUCUAUUUUCUCAAUUGAUUAUCAAAAUAGCCUUGUGACUAAGAUAAGACAUAUGUUUUAAUAUCAGUUUCACGUAAUUAGGUUAAACAAGUACUAAAAGCUUGGGCAUGGGGUCCACAUAUUUUGACUUUUUUUUUUCUACUACUUCAUGCUGCCUUAAAAUAUAUAGUAAGUAAGGUUUUGGCAAUAUAUGUCAAGGGGUAUGAAAAUGUUGGUACUCUUUGAUUUGGUAUUUUCACUUCAAUGAAUCUAUUCAAGGAAAUUAUCUAAAAUAGGGAUAAUUCUGCACAAAGAUAUUCCUCACACAGUUAUUGGGUAUAGCAAAAAACAGAAAAACCUAAGUAUCUAAAUUUAAGGGGAUGAUUAAGUAAAUGUGCUAUUUCCAUGUGAAAUAUUAAAAUAUUUAUGGUAUGUUCAUAUUAUAUAAUGUUAAGUGAGAAAUCAGCAUAUAAGAUUAUAUAAAGUAUGAUUGCAGGUAUUUUAAAUAUAUAUAAUCAGAGACAAAUUAUCAGAAAUAAACCCAUUGGAGAUUGUGAAGUAAUUUAUCUCUAGGUGGGUAGGAUGAUGUGUGAUUUUUGUUUACAUCUUUAUGUUCUUAUUUUCUUCCAGAGUUCUUACAGUGUGAAAGUAUUUUAUAUUCAGGAAAAAUAUUUAAAUGAUCAUGCGCAAAAAUUCGUUAUUUUUUCAUCUUUUUUAUUAUACAUGUAAUCAAGUUUUACUGUUGAAACACUUCAAAACAUAAGUAAGCAAAGUGAAAAAAUUAAAAUCUCAAACUCAAUACUCAGGUAAUUGCUUUAAAGUUUUAGGUGUAUGCUCUUCCAUACUUUUUCAUAGGUAUGUUUAUUUUCUUUUACAAAAUGGAAUCAUACUACCUUUUUAACCUAUUUUUUCCACUUAACAGUAAAUUGUAAACUCUCUUUAUGUCAGUAACCAUGCAUCUGUAUUAUAAUUUUC
This 4238-nucleotide long non-coding RNA is filed under the name Sus scrofa (pig). Its description in RNAcentral is "lncRNA (ENSSSCG00035020669.1)". Lineage: Eukaryota; Metazoa; Chordata; Mammalia; Artiodactyla; Suidae. The record is from RNAcentral.